Molecule: long non-coding RNA, 779 nt
Organism: Bubalus bubalis (water buffalo)
Lineage: Eukaryota; Metazoa; Chordata; Mammalia; Artiodactyla; Bovidae
Exons: 2
Source: RefSeq, a predicted model, not a curated record
AAGAACACACCUAAGAGCUCAAUGUGGAAGUUUGGAUGUUUUCCUGGGAAGAAUGGUUCCUGAUUUGGGAGACACAAACAAUCAUGGCAAGUAACAGAACAGGUGUGAUCUGCUGGAUACUCAGAGAUCACUUCCUGGAAACACAGGGCUCCUUCUGCAUGAGCUCAAAAAAGUCUCCUGAAUAGAAAGUCAGUCCAACCAGCUUUGGCUUCUACCUACACUGGAGAUGUGAGAGGGAAGCCACUCAGUCCAGGAGAAGGUACUGUGAUGCUGUUACAGCCCCUGGUGAUGCAGGGCUUCCUCGGUCUCUGCAUCCUAGAUUGUCACCCUGAGACAUCUCUGCACUCCACCAGCGUACACAAUGUGGCUCUGGGUUUAAAGCCUUCUCCCUUCUCAGAAGAUGGGUGUCCUAUUCUGGUCACCACACCUGCCCCGCCCCGUACGUUCAGGCACAAGUCCUUCCCCUUCCCUCCCCACUCCAUCCUCCUUGUACUUAGCCAUCACGCCCUUGCUCUUCCGCUGUUCCUUGAUCACUGGCAUCUGGCUCAUGCUUUCACUCCUUCCUCUGCAAUGUUCUCUAGGAUUUCUGCAACCCUACACUCAAGACCCUGAUCUCUAUCCUCCUUGAGCUUUUCCCUGCCAAUGGAGCAUCAGGUGGGGUCAUCCUUCAGUCUCAUAUAAGUCCAUUCAUACAGCAAGAAAUCUAGCUCUUCCAGAAGCCUUUCUCUGAUAAAUGAUCCCAGAGGUAAGCUCUCCCAUGAAUAAAAUUCUAGAAUACA